This 117-nucleotide ribosomal RNA is filed under the name Candidatus Zixiibacteriota bacterium. Lineage: Bacteria; Pseudomonadati; Candidatus Zixiibacteriota. The record is from RNAcentral.
GCCGGUGGUUAUAGCACGAGGGCCACACCUGUUCCCAUUCCGAACACAGCAGUUAAGCCUCGUAGCGCUGAUGGUACUGCCAGGGCAACUUGGUGGGAGAGUAAGACGCUGCCGGUG